CGUAGGGUGCAAGCGUUGUCCGGAAUUAUUGGGCGUAAAGAGCUCGUAGGCGGUUUGUUGCGUCGGCUGUGAAAACCUGAGGCUCAACCUCAGGCCUGCAGUCGAUACGAGCAGACUAGAGUGUUGCAGGGGAGACUGGAAUUCCUGGUGUAGCGGUGAAAUGCGCAGAUAUCAGGAGGAACACCGGUGGCGAAGGCGGGUCUCUGGGCAACAACUGACGCUGAGGAGCGAAAGCGUGGGGAGCGAACAGGAUUAGAUACCCUGGUAGUCAAGGGCG
Molecule: ribosomal RNA, 277 nt
Filed under: uncultured Actinomycetales bacterium
Lineage: Bacteria; Bacillati; Actinomycetota; Actinomycetes; Actinomycetales
Description: partial 16S ribosomal RNA
Rfam family: Bacterial small subunit ribosomal RNA
Source: RNAcentral